This is a long non-coding RNA of Nothoprocta perdicaria, 537 nucleotides long. RefSeq lists it as uncharacterized. The transcript has 2 exons. The record is from RefSeq and is a predicted model, not a curated record. Lineage: Eukaryota; Metazoa; Chordata; Aves; Tinamiformes; Tinamidae.
ACCCGGUGACUCAUGAAGAUGGAGAUAGGGAUAAAGYGGACUGCCGCUCUGUCCCGGAGUGGCUGAGCAAAUCAGACUGCUGGGAAUUAGGAUGAGAAGAAGACUUCUGCAAURAUUUACUCUGGAUGCUUCCAUUGGAAUGAAUUACCAAGUGGACCGCUUUGGAACAUUCGGCAGGAGCUCUCCCUUUGACCAGCAGCAGGUCCGUGCUCUGAUCCCGUACGUUUACCUGCAAUUCUCCAUGGACAUGAGGGCAUUCUGGGGGGUUUUGGAGUGUGAGCAGACAGUCUGUCUCUACACAGGUUGACAUCCGUGAUUUACGGCCCUGAUUUGUGAUCUUGCUCUUGAGUUACACUCUGGCCGUUCCCGACACUUAGGGAUACAUUCCUUCCUGCUGAGCAUUCCUCAGAUGGCCRACAUAAAACACGUCAGCCGCUGCAAACUCGUUUCAACGGUGUGCUGUUUGCAACGUGGGAGUGACCCUUAGGUUAGCACUCYUGGUGUUUUGCAUGAGCAAGGGCUAGAGUAGAGUGAAUA